Lathyrus oleraceus (garden pea) is the source of this 762-nucleotide long non-coding RNA. RefSeq lists it as uncharacterized. Lineage: Eukaryota; Viridiplantae; Streptophyta; Magnoliopsida; Fabales; Fabaceae. The transcript is spliced from 2 exons. The record is from RefSeq and is a predicted model, not a curated record.
GCUACCAUGUUUGUUUUUGGUGAGUACAAGACCAUUGUUCUCAAAGUUUACCUACUGAAAAGAGGUUUCUAUCAGUGGUAGCAAACCCUGUUAACCUUGUUUCUGUUAUAGGAAACUUGGUGGCGGCUCAAGUUGCGACAGAAAUCGGUUGGAGCGAGUUUGCGAUUUCAAUGUUUUCACUAGGAAUGGUACAUUAUUUGCAUGCCAGGACUGUUCAAGAAAACUAUAAAAAGGUUAAACAUUACAUGGUGGAUCUACUCAUUCCCUUUAACAUUCCUUGGUCUAGCUUGUGCUGAAUAUGCUCAUGAAGUGAAAACAAGCAUGGCCUCUGGUUUAAUGCUGUUGAUAUGUAUUGUGUCUGUUUUGGUUUUUGUUUUUCUCAUGCUAACUAAUGUUGAAUAUGAUAAUGCUGAAGUUCUAUCUAAUUACACAGAAAGCUGCAAUAAAGAAGAUGGACAUGAGAGCAUCAAAAGAAUUUUUUGCCGAGCUUAAGGUGUUAACGCGUGUUCAUCACUUGAACUUGGUAAGGUUGAUUGGAUAUUGCAUUGAAGGUUGAUUGGAUAUUGCAUUGCCGGAAUGGACUUGUCUCUUACAAUAUUGAAAAAUGCACACACUGCUAGAGAACUAAAAUGCACGCCAAAAUUGGACUAUACUUUUGAAUUAGUAACUCCUGCAACUGCACAGCCUUGGUUUUUCACAAGUCUCACCGAUGUAUUGGACGUUGAUUCACAUGUAAUCUUUUCCAUCGAUCUUUUGUAUUUA